UGUAACAUAGCUCAACGGUCAGAGCACCCGGCUUAUAUCCGGUUGGUUCUCGGUUCGAAUCCGAGUGUUACGA
Molecule: transfer RNA, 73 nt
Filed under: Lacrimispora sp.
Lineage: Bacteria; Bacillati; Bacillota; Clostridia; Lachnospirales; Lachnospiraceae
Description: tRNA-Ile
Rfam family: tRNA
About the family: Transfer RNA (tRNA) molecules are approximately 80 nucleotides in length. Their secondary structure includes four short double-helical elements and three loops (D, anti-codon, and T loops). Further hydrogen bonds mediate the characteristic L-shaped molecular structure. tRNAs have two regions of fundamental functional importance: the anti-codon, which is responsible for specific mRNA codon recognition, and the 3' end, to which the tRNAs corresponding amino acid is attached (by aminoacyl-tRNA synthetases). tRNAs cope with the degeneracy of the genetic code in two manners: having more than one tRNA (with a specific anti-codon) for a particular amino acid; and 'wobble' base-pairing, i.e. permitting non-standard base-pairing at the 3rd anti-codon position.
Source: RNAcentral